Molecule: ribosomal RNA, 495 nt
Filed under: uncultured bacterium
Lineage: Bacteria
Description: partial 16S ribosomal RNA
Rfam family: Bacterial small subunit ribosomal RNA
Source: RNAcentral
GAUGAACGCUGGCGGCGUGCCUAAUACAUGCAAGUAGAACGCUGAAGGAGGAGCUUGCUCUUCUGGAUGAGUUGCGAACGGGCGAGUAACGCGUAGGUAACCUGCCUGGUAGCGGGGGAUAACUAUUGGAAACGAUAGCUAAUACCGCAUGACAACAGUUAUUGCAUGAUAACUGUUUAAAAGGGGCAACUGCUCCACUACCAGAUGGACCUGCGUUGUAUUAGCUAGUUGGUGAGGUAACGGCUCACCAAGGCGACGAUACAUAGCCGACCUGAGAGGGGGAUCGGCCACACUGGGACUGAGACACGGCCCAGACUCCUACGGGAGGCAGCAGUAGGGAAUCUUCGGCAAUGGACGGAAGUCUGACCGAGCAACGCCGCGUGAGUGAAGAAGGUUUUCGGAUCGUAAAGCUCUGUUGUAAGAGAAGAACGAGUGUGAGAGUGGAAAGUUCACACUGUGACGGUAUCUUACCAGAAAGGGACGGCUAACUACGUG